UACCCAAUAGCUCCAUUGGCAGAGCAUGAGACUCUGGAUCUCUUGGGGUUGUGGGUUUGAGUCCCUUGUGGGGCAA
Non-coding RNA from Podarcis lilfordi (Lilford's wall lizard), 76 nucleotides. NCBI's taxonomy places the organism in Eukaryota, Metazoa, Chordata, Lepidosauria, Squamata, Lacertidae. The record is from the annotation of a GenBank genome assembly.